UUAUCUUUAGCUUUUUGAUUUUUAAUUUUUUUCUACUGGGAACUGAACUCAGGACCUUGCACUUGCCAGGCAGGUACAGUGCCACUGAGCUACAUUCCCUGCUCUAUUUUUGGCUUUUUGAGACAGGGUCUAGAUACCUGGCCUUGAACUCGAAGCGAUCCUCCUGCCUCUGCCUCCUGAAUGCUGGGAUUACAGGCCUGCACCAGCACGGAUUUCGAGUGUUCCCAAGACAGAAACACGAGUGUUCCAGGCAGCAGCUGCUCCAGCUGCUCUGCUCUGCUCUGCUCUACUCUGCUCUCUGAACACACUACCUGGGUGUGGAAGUGUCACCGCACCCCAGGAAUGUGCAGGACUGUUUGGUGAUCUCCCCACGCAGCCCAGGCUGGACUCCAACUCGCCCCUCUCCCCCUGCCGCAGCCUCCCGAGUGCUGGGAUGCAGGGUCUCGCUCUGUCGUUCAGGAUGGCCUCGAACUCUCGGCGAUCCUCCUGCCUCAGCCUCCCCAGUGCUGGGAUUACAGGCGUGCACCACAAUGCCCGGCUCCCAAUUUGCUCUUGAGCCCUGGAACUCCUGCCUCCAGACUGCCAGCCCCAACCUGCCCCGCUCCCUCGCCCCCAGAGAGCUGCCUGUCAUCCACCCCUAAGUUUAUCCCGGGACCCUCGCUGGAGGUAACAAAGCCCCGGACCUCAGACCACGCCCACAACUACAUGUCCCCGCCCAGACCACGCCCGAAGUGCUGAUUGGCGGAAAGAACAAGGUGCUGCACAGUUA
Non-coding RNA from Heterocephalus glaber (naked mole-rat), 769 nucleotides. The record is from RefSeq and is a predicted model, not a curated record. NCBI's taxonomy places the organism in Eukaryota, Metazoa, Chordata, Mammalia, Rodentia, Bathyergidae.